Molecule: long non-coding RNA, 4178 nt
Filed under: Limulus polyphemus (Atlantic horseshoe crab)
Lineage: Eukaryota; Metazoa; Arthropoda; Merostomata; Xiphosura; Limulidae
Description: uncharacterized LOC111085823
Source: RNAcentral
CUAAACUAACCGUUACUAAUAAAUAAUUUUAGUUCAUCUUAUAUAUAUAUAUAUAUAUAUAUUAAUUUUGAGUGUUUCUAUGACAACAAAUUUCUUUAAUCUUUAAAGAUUAUUUAGAAAUAAAUUCAACAAUAUUAGAUUAUACUGCUAGUAAGAUGCAUACCUUUAGGACACAAAGGACUGUGUUAGAUCAGCCAGUAACUGUAUUCUAGUUUUAUUAAUAUUUAAUAUUAAUAUGCUCUAUAUUUCACCUUACGGCUUCGUCAGAAACUUAUCAUUACACAUAUCUUCUGGUUUGCUCCAAACAUCCUUACCCCCCCCCCCCCAAGUAGCACAGCGGCAUGUCUUCUGACUUACAACGCUAGAAACUGGGUUUCGAUACCCGAAGCUAUGUGCUUGAUCACAAACAAAUAAACCAAAUAUUCUUAGUGUACUUAUAGGCUAUAAAUCGUUCCUGAGGAAAUGAUAGAGAGAAAUAUUGAGCAAUAAACGACAAAUUCGGGUGUUAGAGAAGUCGUUAUUUUAUGUAUUGUAUUAGUUAGUUCUAGUAAUAAGUUCCUAUUAGCGUUAAAUAUGUUAAUGUAUACAGAAUUGUUCAUGUGAAAGGUGUGGGGUUUUACAGUUUGAAAUAUACACACAGAAAGUCAAAGUUUUGUAAGUUAACAGAAUAGUUUAUAAACAUUAGAAAUGAUUUUCAGUUUGCUAUUAAACAGAAAAUCAGUGGGCUUAAAGAAUACGGCAGAGUUCCUCAGGUCGACAGAAUUAUGUAUUAUUAUUACCAAAGUGUAGGGUUAUAGCUUGGAACGUACACACUGAAAGUCAAUAGGCUGUAAACACUGAGGUACUGUAGAUUCACAUAACCGAUUAUAAUUACAAGAAAAAUAUUUAUUUACAGUUUGGAAAAUGGUCUUAUACAGUUGAAGGUAAGCAAUAGGGUGUUACAGGUUUACAGCAUUGUUUAUAAUCAAUAAAUGGGUGCAUGAGUUUGCAGUUUAGAAUGGUAAACAGGAGUUUAUUUGGCUGAGAAUGGUAAACAGGAGUUUAUUUGGCUUACAGGUAGGGUGUAAAAACAGAGGUGUUGCAGGUUUACAGCAUUGUUUAUAGUCAAUAAAUGGGUGCAUGAGUUUGCAGUUUAGAAUGGUGAACAGGAGUUUAUUUGGCUUACAGGUAGGGUGUAAACACAGAGGUGUUGCAGGUUUCAGAAUUGUUUCCCUAAUUACAAGAAAGAUGUGGAUUUAUAACUUAGGAUGAUAAGGGAAGGACGUAAACACUGAAGCGUUGUAAGUUUGUGUGAUACGUGUAUAAAAACUGUAAAAUAAGGUUACACAAGUUGUGUUUUACUCAGUUCGGUUAUUUUGUGAAUCGAGGAAUUAAAAACAGCAACUGUACUUUGAAUUUCAAUAUUCUCGAAUGUUUGAAAUAAAAACUUAGAUACAGCUUUUUUUUUCUUUUACUUACACGGUUAUCAGUUAAAUAUCAUACCGUGUAACAGAGAUAACGUAUGCAAAUAUUUAUUGUAAAGUUAAGUUCCUUCCACUAGGAUUACUUUAAGCAAUACAAUGAAAACUCCUGGUAUUUCAAAGUUCACUAUCUAUAAUGGAAUUUCAUACAUUUUUUCCCUGUCACUAUGCUUGGUAAUUUUGCUUCAGAAAUUUAUACUUCAGUUACUCAAGAACUUUCGAUUUAAUUAUACACGUAGUUAACAUUAGAAAAAUUGUAUAUUCUAAAAGGGAAGAACAUUGCAAAUAAAAACCAAUGACAUUACUUGUUAAUUUUCAUGUGCAACUUAAGUAGGUAAUAUUGGAUUUUAUUUAGUGCAUAUUAUAAUGUAUUUUGAAAACAUUGAGAGCUCGAAACUAUUAAUACAACAUCCUUUGAUGAACUUUUUAAAAUUAACACUUGUGUGUUAUUCAGCGUACAUAGCCAAUAACCUCACAUCUUCUGCUGUGAAGAAAAUUGCUUAUCAGUAAAUCAUAAACAACUUUUUUGUCACUUUAGCUUUUCAUUUUGUGAAUAAAAGUUCUUAGUAGGCUUCAAGAAAACAAAUUUAUGUUGCUGGUAAGUAACUGACUUAAGUUUAGACCUCAUGAUAAAACGCUUGACCUAGGAAGGUUUAUAGUAAAACUGGUCAAUGUUAUUGAUAUUUGAAGAAUUUAUAUCAACCAUUUUUUAUAUCAUUAAAUUAGAAGAGCUCCUAAAAUCAAUCAGAAAAUAAAAUGUCACAUCGUAUAACUAAAAUUAAUUCCUUCACAAGUAAAUAAUUUGCAUUCAGAUUUCUUUAGUUCUUCUAAAGAUCAUAGGUGGCUGCGCAUUUUCGAAAUUGUGUUUAUAUGCGAGGUGGUUCUGAAAGUUUAAAGCAGUAAAUCUAUGUUAAUGAAAGUUCACACAUUCAUCAAAUAGACGUUGUUAUUUGAUAUAGAUCUAACUCUCGAUUAAAGAGUACAUAUAUUUAUCGGCUUGAAAUAAUAAAACUUUUAUUAACUAUGUACAGUUAUACUCAUUAAAAUAUUUACAUAUGCUGGGCUUGCUUCCCAUCACAUAUUAAAAAUAUUUUAAAUGUUCAUAAAAUGUAAAUAAAUUAAAAUUGUUCUUCUGUACAUAAUUAUAUUUGUACAGUUACAAAUUAUCUUGCUCUGCAGAUUAUUCUAAAUACUUGGCACAUAUUUGGUGUAUAUUUUUUAACUUUUCUAUUCUAGCUUCAUACUUUCUGAAAUGUUAUCAAUGUGAUGAUUAGAAGUGGCGUUAUUGAUGUGCUAAUCUCUUAAUAGUACAUAAAAAUUGUUAGCCAAUCUAUUGAAAUGUAAACCUAAGUAUAAUUCAUAUCGUAGAGAGUACAUAGUAGCAAAAACCUGUUUGUCCCAGAGUAGUUAGUAUCACAUUUACUUUCUUUAUAGCCUAUUUCAUAAUAACCUUAGCCAUGUUUAGAUCCGGAUAUGGUACACUUAUUUCGAAGUGGUUACUAGUGUUAUCAAAAAACGUGAACGAUUGGUUAACGACCUUGUUAGAAAGAUCAUACAAAUUAAACGAAUGUUUUAUAUUAAAAAUUAACUUUUAAUCUUCUUGGUGAGCGUGGAAAACUGUUAAAAUAUUGUUGAAAUAGAAAAUUUUAUAAACAUGGUAUUUUCUUUAUCAUAAGAGCUUGCAAAAAUAAACUGAAAAAGGCACUUUAAUUUAUAUAUAUAAAUAUAUAUACAUGCUUAUACUAUAAAAAAGUAUAGACUAGUUUGUACAUGUAAGACUGUAUUGUACCUGGUCAGGUGUAUAUGCAUUAUCAGGAAAGAACUGUUAGAAGUUGUUAUGGGUAACCUGUCUUGUGUUUUUUUUUUCUACCUUUCGGUGAAAUGUUUCGAAAUACAAUCUCAGAACAAACUCACCAGGCAGGUUUCCCAUAACACCAACUGAUGAAUGUUAUUUUUUGUGUCGAUAUUAAGACAUUUGUCUUGUCAAAUAUAUUUUCUGAACUAAUUCCAAUACCUGUAGAAAAGUUUCAAGUGGUGUUUCAGCAUGCUUAAUUUUCUGUCAUUCAGAACGUGUACAAAAUAAUGAAACAAUUGUUUUUGUUAUUGGUUUUAGAACUAAGUCAGUGAGAUUUCUGGACAUAUUCUGUAUUAAACUAGUUUCAGUUUAAAUAGACAAGGUUGAGUUAGUUUUGUUUGGUAAGAGCUCUUGUAAAAAGAUACACAAACUGUUUUAUCUGUAUAGAUUUAAUUACUUCCAUACAGAAACUUACUUUCCUCAUCAUUGCGUCAGCCAUUUCCACUCAUCGUAAUAAUAGAUGGCGGUUUUGUUAAGAUUCACAUCGAUUGGAAGUAAAGAAAACAACUCUUUAUUUUCAAAAUGAACGAACUAGUCAUGUAUUCAAUUUUAAAUAUAUGAAGUUCAAAGUUUAUGUUUUUCUUGUUAAAUUCUGUGAUUAUGUUUUACUAAAUCUUCCUCGUAUUACUUAGCUCAGUCUUUUUGGAAGCUUUAGUGCACAUUUGAUGAAAAUUAGUAGAACGUAUUACAACAGGCUCUCUUAGGUUGAUAAAUAUAAGUGAUGUUUAUUAUACAAAGUAGACAUCAAUUUAUAUAUACUUAGCUGAAUUCCUAGGUUAAGAUAAGUGUUUAUAUAAAUGUAUAACAGAACUUUUGUUAUAUGUCACUUUGGAAUUUUGGGCUGAUUAAACAUUCACCAGAAA